Molecule: long non-coding RNA, 922 nt
Organism: Sorex araneus (European shrew)
Lineage: Eukaryota; Metazoa; Chordata; Mammalia; Eulipotyphla; Soricidae
Exons: 3
Source: RefSeq, a predicted model, not a curated record
GGGGUCCCGGCCCCGCCGCGCCCGCAGCCCGGUCCCCGGCCCCGCCGCCCCGCCGCCCCCCGCCCGGGCUCGGUCAGCCGGUACCUUCAUGAAGGUCUCUACCGCGCCUUUGGCCGUGUCCAGAUUAUUUUCCUGAGGAGAUGGCUCAGAGGGCUGCAACACAAGCUUUGCAUGCAGAAGCUUUGCAUCCGGGAUCAAAUGCCACCGAGAUUGAUCCCCAAGCUCCAGGCACUGCCAGAUAUUAUCCAAAAAAAAAACUGAAGAAAGAAAAAAGUAAUCAUGCAAUAUGUUUUUUGAUCACCUUGGUGCAUGCAGCGUGGUCCCAAUGGUCAAGCAGCUCUAAGCCUCACAUUUUCCCUGGGACUUAAAACACAGACUCAUGGACCAGGAAGAGAGUUCAGAGGUUAAGGCACUUGCCUUGUUGGAGCCAACCCUGGUUAGAUCUCCAGUACCACUUAAGGUCCCCUAGACAUGCCAGGGGUGACCCUGAGCACAGAGCCAGGCGUAAGCCCCAAGGUAAAUUUCCACUCCCCUGAAAAACAACAACAAACUAAGAAAAAAACCACAGAGCCAUCUUCUGGGCCCCGAGGUUUUCUAUAAAUAGUUAUUUCAUUUGUGAAUGAAUCCAUCACUACUUCAUUUUUGGUUUGGAUGUUUGUUUCUCUUUCCUUCCCGCCCCCACCCCCAGCCCCCUGAUUGUCCUGCCAGGACCCCUAGUACCAUCUGGAACAGAUACGGUGAGAAUAGACAAGCUGGAUGUACUUUGAAUGUUAGGGAGAAGACAUUCAGUCUUUCAACAUCAUGGAUGAUCCUGACCUUAAGACCUGGCUCUGCUUUAGAUGUCUUUUACUAUUGCGAAAGUGGCCUUCCGGUCCAAAUUUUUUUCUGGAGAUUUUAUUCUGAAAAAUAAAAUCACUUUUUA